AGCAUUUAAUUGCUUCUCUCUCUCUCUCUCUCUCUCUCUCUUUUUUUUUCCCUUUUCCCAGUCAGAGAGUACCAAGUGCCUAGCAGACACUAUCGUCCGCGUUUUUCCUGGUCAGUCUCCCUCAGAAAAUCUAAAGGGAACAGUUCCUGUGCAUUACUACUCAAACAAGAGAUCUCAUCCUAUAAUCCUCCACAGAAAAAGACAAACUUGAAAACAGAAUACGCUAGGGCAAGGAGUUACAGAAAUCAACUAAGUUUAGUAUGAACCAAAAUUUGCAACCACAUUGAACAUGGCAUUUGUGAAUCAAUGACUAAAGAAUAUUCUCAUAACAUUGUAGAGGACAACGCAAGCUGAAGAUGAUUUCAAUUCCACUGAAGGACUGACCAUACCUGCGUUAGAAGCUUCUCUUUUUCCUCUAAUUCUUCAUCAUUAAGAGGUUCAGCCUCGUCAAUCUUGAGCUGCUCUUCCUUUUGUGCUUGGGCUGCAUUUGGUAGAUCAGGAUUACGAGGUACCUGAAAGGUUUCAGAUAUGUAAAAUUU
This is a long non-coding RNA of Rhea pennata, 539 nucleotides long. RefSeq lists it as uncharacterized. The record is from RefSeq and is a predicted model, not a curated record. The transcript is spliced from 3 exons. NCBI's taxonomy places the organism in Eukaryota, Metazoa, Chordata, Aves, Rheiformes, Rheidae.